AGAGUUCGAUUAUGGCUCAGGAUGAACGCUAGCUACAGGCUUAACACAUGCAAGUCGAGGGGAAACGACAUCGAAAGCUUGCUUUUGAUGGGCGUCGACCGGCGCACGGGUGAGUAACGCGUAUCCAACCUGCCCAUCACUUGGGAAUAACCUUGCGAAAGUAAGACUAAUACCCAAUGAUAUCCCACGAAGGCAUCCGAAUGGGAUUAAAGAUUUAUCGGUGAUGGAUGGGGAUGCGUCUGAUUAGCUUGUUGGCGGGGUAACGGCCCACCAAGGCAACGAUCAGUAGGGGUUCUGAGAGGAAGGUCCCCCACAUUGGAACUGAGACACGGUCCAA
Molecule: ribosomal RNA, 337 nt
Filed under: uncultured bacterium
Lineage: Bacteria
Description: bacterial SSU rRNA
Rfam family: Bacterial small subunit ribosomal RNA
Source: RNAcentral